GAUGAACGCUGGCGGCGUGCUUAACACAUGCAAGUCGAACGGUGAACCCGGAGCUUGCUCUGUGGGAUCAGUGGCGAACGGGUGAGUAACACGUGGGCAACCUGCCCCUGACUCUGGGAUAAGCGCUGGAAACGGCGUCUAAUACUGGAUAUGUGACGUGACCGCAUGGUCUGCGUUUGGAAAGAUUUUUCGGUUGGGGAUGGGCUCGCGGCCUAUCAGCUUGUUGGUGAGGUAAUGGCUCACCAAGGCGUCGACGGGUAGCCGGCCUGAGAGGGUGACCGGCCACACUGGGACUGAGACACGGCCCAGACUCCUACGGGAGGCAGCAGUGGGGAAUAUUGCACAAUGGGCGCAAGCCUGAUGCAGCAACGCCGCGUGAGGGAUGACGGCCUUCGGGUUGUAAACCUCUUUUAGCAGGGAAGAAGCGAAAGUGACGGUACCUGCAGAAAAAGCGCCGGCUAACUACGUG
RNAcentral lists this ribosomal RNA (469 nucleotides) under uncultured bacterium. RNAcentral's name for it is "partial 16S ribosomal RNA". It matches the Rfam family "Bacterial small subunit ribosomal RNA", at positions 28 to 507 of the family's 1533-position model. The record is from RNAcentral.